GAGACUGAGUUGAGCUAUUGUACACUUCAAAUCAUUCAGCUUCUAAAUUUGGGGUUUAUUUUUUCUCCGCCGUCUAGAAUGGCGCCGCCUCCUCCUCCUGGGCUUUAUUCCGGCAAGAGCGCCUUGGCUAUGGUGGCUAGGGUUUCCGCUUUCACGGUUGGACUCGCGUAUGGCAGCGUAAAGCUUAAGUUUGUCAAGAUGAAAGCAAAGAGUCAGAAGAAGGCUGAGGCUAAGGCUCAGCACUAGAGGAGCAGUGUGACUUUUUUUUGCUCUACCGGGAUCACAAUAAUAGAAUAGAGAGAUUGAUUUUCCGCCAUGGCCUGAAUCGCCUAAUGAGAACGAGCAUCGUUUUCAACCGGUAAACAGUUAGGUUUUUCUUUCGGUUUGAAAUGCUGCUCAAACACUAGUUUAUCCUGUGAUGACAAUGAAGAAGGAUAUUAGCAAAAAAAUAUGGAUCUAUAAUUUGCAAACUUUUUGGAUCCUUGAUUAGCUAUAUUUUCUCAUUGUUUUAUAUAUAAGGGGAUCCAUAUUCA
Salvia hispanica is the source of this 533-nucleotide non-coding RNA. Lineage: Eukaryota; Viridiplantae; Streptophyta; Magnoliopsida; Lamiales; Lamiaceae. The record is from RefSeq and is a predicted model, not a curated record.